RNAcentral lists this ribosomal RNA (403 nucleotides) under Verrucomicrobiota bacterium. RNAcentral's name for it is "Verrucomicrobia bacterium partial 16S ribosomal RNA". It matches the Rfam family "Bacterial small subunit ribosomal RNA", at positions 355 to 776 of the family's 1533-position model. Lineage: Bacteria; Pseudomonadati; Verrucomicrobiota. The record is from RNAcentral.
UGGGGAAUAUUGCACAAUGGGGGAAACCCUGAUGCAGCGACGCCGCGUGAGCGAAGAAGGCUUUCGAGUCGUAAAGCUCUGUCCUAUGAGAAGAUAAUGACGGUAUCAUAGGAGGAAGCCCUGGCUAAAUACGUGCCAGCAGCCGCGGUAAUACGUAUGGGGCGAGCGUUGUCCGGAAUUAUUGGGCGUAAAGGGUACGUAGGUGGUUUUUUAAGUCAGGUGUCAAAGCGUGGAGCUUAACUCCAUUAAGCACUUGAAACUGAAAGACUUGAGUGAAGGAGAGGAAAGUGGAAUUCCUAGUGUAGCGGUGAAAUGCGUAGAUAUUAGGAGGAAUACCGGUGGCGAAGGCGACUUGCUGGACUUCAACUGACGCUGAGGAACGAAAGCGUGGGUAGCAAACAGG